CACCCCUCCCCCUCCAGACGCGUACCAACAUCUGCAAAUGGAAAGUCACUUCUGAUCCUGGACCCUUUCACUUCAACUUCUUUACUUUCGUCUUGAGGACUGCGGGAUUUAUAGAACGUCAGUGGAAGUCUGCUGUGUGGAUUUCUAGCAAUGUAAUGAAGCUUUACAAGCCGCGCGCUUCUUCUGAUUUAUUGUGAGGAAUUUCGAAGUGAAAGUUGCAAUGUGAAGGUGCAGCAUCAGUUAUCCAAUGAUCGAAACCAGCACGCCGACCAUGGUGGACAGAACUGAACCAGCACAUUGCACUGUGUGCUGCUGUACCCUGGCCAACAAAAUCCUCAUGGUGCUCUUCAUGGUGCUGCUGAUAUUCGCCACUUUGUUUGGGAAUCUGGUGACUCUGGCUGUAGUGCUGGGAACAAAACACUUCCACACACCGCAGGGUUACUUGAAGGCUUCCCUUGCAGUGGCUGAUCUGGCUGUGGGGAUAUUUGUGGUGCCACUUUCAGUCUACGCUGAGGUCUAUCUCAUGGUGGCUGACUCUGCACCCGAGUGGACUUCAUAUAACUCACAAUCAGUGAGUUUCCACCCAUGUAACAUCAUUGGUCCCAUCUUUGCUGGCUGCACCUUUGUCUCCAUCACAACCAUCUUCCUGCUGACGAUCGAGCGGAGCAUUGCAGUACUGAAGCCGCUGCACAAAGACUCUGUAAUUACUCGUAAAAGGACCACAAUCCUCAUUGUCCUCUCUUGGGUGGGGAGUUUUUUCUUGGCUGUGUCACCAAUGAUCUUCAGCAGUGAGAUCGCUUUGGAGUAUAACUCCUGCAGCAGGAUGUGUAAUUACGCUUUAGGGUCCAUUGGCGAGUUUCCCAGCCAAGCUUGGAACAUCCUUCUCCUCUUCCCCACAUUUGACUUCACCCUCCUCGGUAGCACUGUUGUCAUUAACAUCAUCUCUCUCUCCAGCAUCAGGCAGCACUCAAAACGCAGGAAAACCCUGGCAGAGACUGAAUACCUUAGCACAAGCAACCCUACGUUCUCAGAUAUUAAAGCAGCUAAGACCAUUGGGACUCUAACAGUGGCCUUCACCGCAUCAUUCACCCCCAUUGCUGUCUUCGUGGUCGGGAAUGUUUUGGGGAAUAAAUGGUGCAACUUUUCUUUUUUUGCCUUCUGGAUUUUGGCUACUAACAGUUGCUGGAAUGUUAUCAUCUACAGUGUGAGGGAUCAGAAGUUCAGACUUUGUGCGCACAAACUUCUAAUACCUUCCUACAGACAAAACACCACCAAAACUUAAAACCACAAACAUGGAUGUCUAAUGAAAAGCCUGAACAGGUUGGCAUAGUCUGGAUGUUUGUACAAACAUUUUGCCCAUCACAUUCAAGAAUCACUAUGAGACUACACUCAGAAGCGGGACCAGGACCAGCUGCCUGUGGCCAAACUGAAAAUUAGGAAAAUGUAAGUAUUUGAGGAGUAAUCUAGCUAUGUGAGCUGUUGGCAGUUAGCAAAUUUACUAUCUCAGUGGUAGCUAAAAGAGAAACACGUGUUGUGUAAUUCCAUCAACCUGCAUAUUUUGCAGUGUGUGAAUAAUUAACAUAUUUAAGUGUUUGUGUGGGAUUUUUAUUUAUUUAUUUAUUUUUUAAUUAUUUAUUUUAAA
RNA transcript from Melanotaenia boesemani (Boeseman's rainbowfish), 1642 nucleotides. It is a transcript of the gene named 5-hydroxytryptamine receptor 1B, with no coding region annotated. Lineage: Eukaryota; Metazoa; Chordata; Actinopteri; Atheriniformes; Melanotaeniidae. The record is from RefSeq and is a predicted model, not a curated record. The transcript is spliced from 3 exons.